Molecule: ribosomal RNA, 284 nt
Filed under: uncultured Basidiomycota
Lineage: Eukaryota; Fungi; Basidiomycota
Description: partial 18S ribosomal RNA
Rfam family: Eukaryotic small subunit ribosomal RNA
Source: RNAcentral
UUGGAGGGCAAGUUGGUGCCAGCAGCCGCGGUAAUUCCAGCUCCAAUAGCGUAUAUUAAAGUUGUUGCAGUUAAAAAGCUCGUAGUUGAACUUCAGACCUGACCGGGUGGUCCGCCUAACGGUGUGUACUGUCUGGCCGGGCCUUACCUCUUGGUGAGCCGGCAUGCCCUUAAUUGGGUGUGUCGGGGAACCAGGACCUUUACCUUGAGAAAAUUAGAGUGUUCAAAGCAGGCUUACGCCGGAAUACAUUAGCAUGGAAUAAUAAAAUAGGACGUGCGGUUCUA